CGGGUGAGUAACGCGUGGGUAACCUGCCUUAUACAGGGGGAUAACAGUCAGAAAUGGCUGCUAAUACCGCAUAAGCGCACAGAGCUGCAUGGCUCAGUGUGAAAAACUCCGGUGGUAUAAGAUGGACCCGCGUUGGAUUAGCUAGUUGGUGGGGUAACGGCCCACCAAGGCGACGAUCCAUAGCCGGCCUGAGAGGGUGACCGGCCACAUUGGGACUGAGACACGGCCCAA
Molecule: ribosomal RNA, 231 nt
Filed under: uncultured bacterium
Lineage: Bacteria
Description: partial 16S ribosomal RNA
Rfam family: Bacterial small subunit ribosomal RNA
Source: RNAcentral